AGUGAACGCUGGUGGUAGGCCUAACACAUGCAAGUCGAACGGCAGCACAGUAAGAGCUUGCUCUUACGGGUGGCGAGUGGCGGACGGGUGAGGAAUACAUCGGAAUCUACUUUUUCGUGGGGGAUAAAGUAGGGAAACUUACGCCAAUACCGCAUACGACCUACGGGUGGAAGCAGGGGAUCUUCGGACCUUGCGCGAUUGAAUGAGCCGAUGUCGGAUUAGCUAGUUGGCGGGGUAAAGGCCCACCAAGGCGACGAUCCGUAGCUGGUCUGAGAGGAUGAUCAGCCACACUGGAACUGAGACACGGUCCAGACUCCUACGGGAGGCAGCAGUGGGGAAUAUUGGACAAUGGGCGCAAGCCUGAUCCAGCCAUACCGCGUGGGUGAAGAAGGCCUUCGGGUUGUAAAGCCCUUUUGUUGGGAAAGAAAAGCAGCAGGUUAAUACCCCGCUGUUCUGACGGUACCCAAAGAAUAAGCACCGGCUAACUUCGUG
This 492-nucleotide ribosomal RNA is filed under the name uncultured bacterium. RNAcentral's name for it is "partial 16S ribosomal RNA". It matches the Rfam family "Bacterial small subunit ribosomal RNA", at positions 29 to 507 of the family's 1533-position model. The record is from RNAcentral.